UACGGAGGAUGCGAGCGUUAUCCGGAUUUAUUGGGUUUAAAGGGUGCGCAGGCGGAUUUUUAAGUCAGCGGUCAAAUCGUGGGGCUCAACCCCAUCCAGCCGUUGAAACUGGGGAUCUAGAGUGUGCGAGAGGUAUGCGGAAUGCGUGGUGUAGCGGUGAAAUGCAUAGAUAUCACACAGAACACCGAUUGCGAAGGCAUCUCACGAAUCCGCUAUUGACGCUGAUGCACGAAAGCGUGGGUAUCAAACAGG
Molecule: ribosomal RNA, 252 nt
Filed under: uncultured bacterium
Lineage: Bacteria
Description: partial 16S ribosomal RNA
Rfam family: Bacterial small subunit ribosomal RNA
Source: RNAcentral